UCAGGGGGUUUGAUCUAGAGCUCCCGCCUCCUUUACAGUGGCUUUGCUACUCCCUAUUAGUUAUUGAUACUAUUCCCACCCUUCUGCCCACCCAAUGCUCUAUUCACUGUGUGUGUGUGUGUGUGUGUGUGUGUGUGUGUGUGUGUGUGUGUGUGGUACAGAUGUGAGCCUACAUGAAGAACAAAUUAAGCAUGGAGAUAACAUUGGGGUGACAGCCUUAGUCAUGUCUAUUGGCAUCAGAAGCUGUUUACAAUCUCUGAAUCCAGCGAUGACAUCACCCCUAGGCAACAAGGACUCUCUUGCAUCUGUUGCCAUGGCAACCGCCACACACCUGUGUGCCUCGCCUAUGCAUGGUGGAAGAACCUCCAGCUAAAAGAGAGUGGAUGCAGCUACAUCCUCCAGCUCCUCCAGCGACCUUUCUACCAGGCCCUACUUUCUGUGAUUCUUGACCACUCCAGAUAUCUAUUAAACAAUUUAAGAUGGCA
Long non-coding RNA from Mastomys coucha (southern multimammate mouse), 485 nucleotides. RefSeq lists it as uncharacterized. NCBI's taxonomy places the organism in Eukaryota, Metazoa, Chordata, Mammalia, Rodentia, Muridae. The record is from RefSeq and is a predicted model, not a curated record. The transcript has 2 exons.